This 252-nucleotide ribosomal RNA is filed under the name Pireneitega sp. ZZ483. Its description in RNAcentral is "partial 12S ribosomal RNA". The record is from RNAcentral. Lineage: Eukaryota; Metazoa; Arthropoda; Arachnida; Araneae; Agelenidae.
AUCGACAAUCCACGUUANUUUUUACUUUAAUUUAAAACUUAUAUACCGCCAUCUUAAGAAACAAUUUUAAAUCUUUCUCCCAAUAAUUAAUAAAAAGUUAGGUCAAGGUGUAAUCUAUAUUAAAGAUUAGAUGAAUUACAUUAAAUAAUAUUUACAAUUAUUUAUAUAUUUAUAAAUAUAAAUAAGAAUUUAAAAGUAAUAUAUUAAUAAUAAUAAUACAUGAUAAAGAUAAUAAAUGUGCACACAUCGCCC